UUGACCAUCACUUUUUCUCUCAUAAAUCACACAUACACACACUAGAAGAAAGAAAGAACCGGCAGAGAAGAAGAAAAGGGAAAGAAAAGAGGGAAGAAAAAGAAGAAGAAAAAGGAAAAAAGGAAGAAGAAAAAGAAAGGAAAGAGAUUUUUGAGAGGAAUCCUACUUGGAGUUCAGGUUAUUGAUUCUUGAAUUUCUAUCUACACUAAGGUGGUGACGAGGAAAUUGGAAACGUUUAUCAGGCAAUCUAGCUUGUAGCUCCUACCUUGAGACCGUUGAUUUUUGAGAUACUUGGAAAAGCCUGCUGAAGCGAAAGAGACCGUUUCAUAGUAUGUAAUGAAUAGUUGGGGGACUCAUGUUUGUUAAGUAUUUUGUCUAAUAUUUGGGGUGUCAUGCACUUUGUAGAAGGGUUUGUAAUUGAUGUAAUGCUUGCACGUAGACAUGAUGUUGUUGCAGAAGUACUCAGUCGAAAUUUGUUAUAUUUGUUUUAGUUGUGGUGGUAUUAGUGGAAGUGGUGGUUUCCAAAACUUUUGGUUUGAAUGUCUAUUCGAGGUCUUGAUGAUUUUUCA
Molecule: long non-coding RNA, 569 nt
Organism: Olea europaea var. sylvestris
Lineage: Eukaryota; Viridiplantae; Streptophyta; Magnoliopsida; Lamiales; Oleaceae
Exons: 4
Source: RefSeq, a predicted model, not a curated record